This 492-nucleotide ribosomal RNA is filed under the name uncultured bacterium. Its description in RNAcentral is "partial 16S ribosomal RNA". It matches the Rfam family "Bacterial small subunit ribosomal RNA", at positions 29 to 507 of the family's 1533-position model. The record is from RNAcentral.
AUUGAACGCUGGCGGCAUGCUUUACACAUGCAAGUCGAACGGUAACAGGCCUUCGGGUGCUGACGAGUGGCGAACGGGUGAGUAAUGCAUCGGAACGUACCCAGAGGUGGGGGAUAACGCAGCGAAAGCUGUGCUAAUACUGCAUGUGAUCUGAGGAUGAAAGCGGGGGACCGAGCAGCAAUGUUUGGCCUCGCGCCUUUGGAGCGGCCGAUGUCGGAUUAGCUAGUUGGUGGGGUAAAGGCCUACCAAGGCGACGAUCCGUAGCUGGUCUGAGAGGACGACCAGCCACACUGGGACUGAGACACGGCCGAGACUCCUACGGGAGGCAGCAGUGGGGAAUUUUGGACAAUGGGCGCAAGCCUGAUCCAGCAAUGCCGCGUGCGGGAAGAAGGCCUUCGGGUUGUAAACCGCUUUUGGCAGGAACGAAACGGUGUCCGCUAAUACCGGGCGCUAAUGACGGUACCUGCAGAAUAAGCACCGGCUAACUACGUG